UACGUAGGGGGCAAGCGUUAUCCGGAUUUACUGGGUGUAAAGGGGGCGCAGACGGCAGCGCAAGCCAGGAGUGAAAGCCCGGGGCCCAACCCCGGGACUGCUCUUGGAACUGCGCGGCUGGAGUGCAGGAGGGGCAGGCGGAAUUCCUGGUGUAGCGGUGAAAUGCGUAGAUAUCAGGAGGAACACCGGUGGCGAAGGCGGUUUACUGGACCACAACUGACGCUGAGACACGAAAGCGUGGGGAGCAAACAGG
RNAcentral lists this ribosomal RNA (253 nucleotides) under uncultured bacterium. RNAcentral describes it as "partial 16S ribosomal RNA". It matches the Rfam family "Bacterial small subunit ribosomal RNA", at positions 524 to 776 of the family's 1533-position model. The record is from RNAcentral.